This 497-nucleotide ribosomal RNA is filed under the name uncultured bacterium. RNAcentral describes it as "partial 16S ribosomal RNA". It matches the Rfam family "Bacterial small subunit ribosomal RNA", at positions 28 to 507 of the family's 1533-position model. The record is from RNAcentral.
GAUGAACGCUGGCGGCGUGCCUAAUACAUGCAAGUCGAGCGAACAGACCAGUAUCUUGCUCCUCUGACGUUAGCGGCGGACGGGUGAGUAACACGUGGAUACCCUACCUAUAAGACUGGGAUAACUUCGUGACACCGGAGCUCAUACGGGAUAAUAUAUUUCACCGCAUGGUUCACUAGUGACAGACGGUUUUGCUGUCACUUAUAGAUGCUUCCGCGCCGCAUGAGCUAGUUGGUAAGGUAACGGCUUACCAAGGCGAUGAUGCGUAGCCCACCGGAGAGGGUGGUCGGCUACACGGGAACUGAGACACGGUCCAGACUCUGACGGGAGGAAGCGGUAGGGAAUCUUCCGCAAGGGGCGAAAGCCGGACGGAGCAACGCGGCGGGAGGGAUGAAGGUCUUCUGAUGGGAAAGCUCUGUUAUUAGGGAAGAACAAAUGUGUAAGUAACUAGGCAGGUAUUGACGGUACCUAAACAGAAAGCCACGGCUAACUACGUG